GGAUAAAGCAAAGAAAAUAACAUUUAAUACUGAGUGAAUACAUCCUCUUCCCUUCUUAAGAAUUCUGUUUUCUUAUCUAUAAAAUAAGGGAUAAGUGGAGGGAUUAGCUCUUCUCUAAAGUGAUUUCUACUGGAGGAAAUUCAUGGUACUAAGGACUCUGUACCAAAAGCCCUUGCCUGGUACUUCAACGGUGCUCGGAAAAACAGGCAGCCUAUUUCUUCUCUUCCCUUUGUGGACUGAGACUUAAAAUUCUUUUGCUGGCCAAGACAGAAACUAAGGCUGGUUUUGGGGUUGCAGAAUGAAGAUAGAGAGAAAGGGGAGGAUAGCAGCCACAAUUUCAAGAGUGGCCAUUUAUAUAUUCCAAUCAAAGGGCCAGCCCUGAGAAACUGGGAAGGCAUGGAGGAGGAUGGUUAAUAACAAAACAGUUCAGGGAGAGAAUCUUGAACAAGCAUCUGACUGAGGAAAAGGCCUUAGUCAGGGAUGAAUUCUCACUGUGUUGCCUGGACUGGUCUCGAAAUCCUGACCUUAAGUAAUGCUUCUGCCUUGGCCUCCCAAAAUGCUGAAAUUACAGGUGUGAGCCAUCAUUCCCAGCCCAGCAGUCUUCAUCUUAAGAAGAAAGCUGCCCAGCAUCAGAGGGGUCAGGUUCCCUUCUAAACAGAAUAUGAUAAUGCUGGCCUGCCAAAACUACAGCUUCCCCUUUAGGGAAGAACUAUUGCAAUUCCAGAGUUCACAACUGCAUUCAGACCUGGCCUACAGAGCAUCUCACACUCACUGUGCUUGUGACAUUCCCUUGUACCAGGCCCUCCACAAAGAGCUGGGAUUUGAAUUCUUUGACGAAGCUCAGCAGAGACUCAAGGGAAAGGCCGUCCAUCAAAGCCUGGUACUUGUCAAUCAUAGACCAACGGGCAUAUUCCAGGAUUAAAAGCCGUACAU
This 933-nucleotide non-coding RNA is filed under the name Pan troglodytes (chimpanzee). Lineage: Eukaryota; Metazoa; Chordata; Mammalia; Primates; Hominidae. The record is from RNAcentral.